Molecule: ribosomal RNA, 460 nt
Filed under: uncultured bacterium
Lineage: Bacteria
Description: partial 16S ribosomal RNA
Rfam family: Bacterial small subunit ribosomal RNA
Source: RNAcentral
CCUACGGGAGGCAGCAGUGAGGAAUAUUGGUCAAUGGACGAGAGUCUGAACCAGCCAAGUAGCGUGAAGGAUGACUGCCCUAUGGGUUGUAAACUUCUUUUAUAUGGGAAUAAAACAGGGUAUGCAUACCCUCUUGUAUGUACCAUAUGAAUAAGGAUCGGCUAACUCCGUGCCAGCAGACGCGGUAAUACGGAGGAUCCGAGCGUUAUCCGGAUUUAUUGGGGUUAAAGGGAGCGUAGGUGGAUUGUUAAGUCAGUUGUGAAAGUUUGCGGCUCAACCGUAAAAUUGCAGUUGAAACUGGCAGGCUUGAGUACAGUAGAGGUGGGCGGAAUUCGUGGUGUAGCGGUGAAAUGCUUAGAUAUCACGAAGAACUCCGAUUGCGAAGGCAGCUCACUGGACUGCAACUGACACUGAUGCUCGAAAGUGUGGGUAUCAAACAGGAUUAGAUACCCCAGUAGUC